ACAUCCAGAGAAUUUAGCAGAGAUGCUUUAGUGCCUUCGGGAACUCUGAGACAGGUGCUGCAUGGCUGUCGUCAGCUCGUGUUGUGAAAUGGUGGGUUAAGUCCCGCAACGAGCGCAACCCUUAUCCUUUGUUGCCAGCACGUAAUGGUGGGAACUCAAAGGAGACUGCCGGUGAUAAACCGGAGGAAGGUGGGGAUGACGUCAAGUCAUCAUGGCCCUUACGAGUAGGGCUACACACGUGCUACAAUGGCGCAUACAAAGAGAAGCGACCUCGCGAGAGCAAGCGGACCUCAUAAAGUGCGUCGUAGUCCGGAUUGGAGUCUGCAACUCGACUCCAUGAAGUCGGAAUCGCUAGUAAUCGUAAAUCAGAAUGUUACGGUGAAUACGUUCCCGGGCCUUGUACACACCGCCCGUCACACCAUGGGAGUGGGUUGCAAAAGAAGUAGAUAGCUUAACCUUCGGGAGGGCGUUUACCACUUUGUGAUUCAUGACUGGGGUGAAGUCGUAACAAGGUAGGCGUAGUGCU
RNAcentral lists this ribosomal RNA (526 nucleotides) under uncultured bacterium. RNAcentral describes it as "bacterial SSU rRNA". It matches the Rfam family "Bacterial small subunit ribosomal RNA", at positions 984 to 1509 of the family's 1533-position model. The record is from RNAcentral.